RNAcentral lists this transfer RNA (71 nucleotides) under Camelus bactrianus (Bactrian camel). It matches the Rfam family "tRNA". From Rfam's summary of the family: Transfer RNA (tRNA) molecules are approximately 80 nucleotides in length. Lineage: Eukaryota; Metazoa; Chordata; Mammalia; Artiodactyla; Camelidae. The record is from Rfam by way of RNAcentral. RNAcentral also lists the same sequence under 2 other names.
GAGGGCAUAGCUCAGUGCAGAGUGUGUGCCUAGCAUGCACAAGGUCCUGGGUUCAAUCCCCAGUACUUCCA